CCAGACUCAUACGGGAGGCAGCAGUGGGGGAAUAUUGGACAAUGGGCGCAAGCCUGAUCCAGCCAUACCGCGUGGGUGAGGAAGGCCUUCGGGUUGUAAAGCCCUUUUGUUGGGAAAGAAAUCCAGCCGGCUAAUACCUGGUUGGGAUGACGGUACCCAAAGAAUAAGCACCGGCUAACUUCGUGCCAGCAGCCGCGGUAAUACGAAGGGUGCAAGCGUUACUCGGAAUUACUGGGCGUAAAGCGUGCGUAGGUGGUUAUUUAAGUCCGUUGUGAAAGCCCUGGGCUCAACCUGGGAACUGCAGUGGAUACUGGAUGACUAGAAUGUGGUAGAGGGUAGCGGAAUUCCUGGUGUAGCAGUGAAAUGCGUAGAGAUCAGGAGGAACAUCCAUGGCGAAGGCAGCUACCUGGACCAACAUUGACACUGAGGCACGAAAGCGUGGGGAGCAAACAGGAUUAGAUACCCUGGUAGUCCACGCCCUAAACGAUGCGAACUGGAUGUUGGGUGCAAUUUGGCACGCAGUAUCGAAGCUAACGCGUUAAGUUCGCCGCCUGGGGAGUACGGUCGCAAGACUGAAACUCAAAGGAAUUGACGGGGGCCCGCACAAG
Molecule: ribosomal RNA, 608 nt
Filed under: uncultured bacterium
Lineage: Bacteria
Description: bacterial SSU rRNA
Rfam family: Bacterial small subunit ribosomal RNA
Source: RNAcentral